RNAcentral lists this ribosomal RNA (253 nucleotides) under uncultured bacterium. RNAcentral's name for it is "partial 16S ribosomal RNA". It matches the Rfam family "Bacterial small subunit ribosomal RNA", at positions 524 to 776 of the family's 1533-position model. The record is from RNAcentral.
UACGUAGGGGGCUAGCGUUGUCCGGAAUCAUUGGGCGUAAAGCGCGUGUAGGCGGCUCGAUAAGUCUGCUGUGAAAGUCCAGGGCUCAACCCUGGAAUGCCGGUGGAAACUGUCGAGCUUGAGUCCGGAAGAGGCAAGUGGAAUUCCUGGUGUAGCAGUGAAAUGCGCAGAUAUCAGGAGGAACACCAAUGGCGAAGGCAGCUUGCUGGGACGGUACUGACGCUGAGACGCGAAAGCGUGGGGAGCAAACAGG